This 234-nucleotide long non-coding RNA is filed under the name Glycine max (soybean). Its description in RNAcentral is "long non-coding RNA (GMAX_LNC002193)". The record is from RNAcentral. Lineage: Eukaryota; Viridiplantae; Streptophyta; Magnoliopsida; Fabales; Fabaceae.
GGCUCCUUCCCUCAACACCUGUAAAAAGAAUAAAAACAUAUGUAUUAGUGGUGUUGGGUAUGUUAGAGUAGGGUAAGGUCUUAAAACUCCUUUCAUGGACAUCUUCCCAUGAGGGAACAUGGUUCCUCACCAACUCAAUGUGAGGUGCUACAAGUAUAGAAAAAUAUGGGACAAACCUUUUGUAAAAGUUUGUUAAGUCAUGGCAGCCCCAGAUUUCCCUUAUACUUGGUGGAG